This 497-nucleotide ribosomal RNA is filed under the name uncultured bacterium. RNAcentral's name for it is "partial 16S ribosomal RNA". It matches the Rfam family "Bacterial small subunit ribosomal RNA", at positions 28 to 507 of the family's 1533-position model. The record is from RNAcentral.
GAUGAACGCUGGCGGCGUGCCUAAUACAUGCAAGUCGAGCGAACGGACGAGAAGCUUGCUUCUCUGAUGUUAGCGGCGGACGGGUGAGUAACACGUGGAUAACCUACCUAUAAGACUGGGAUAACUUCGGGAAACCGGAGCUAAUACCGGAUAAUAUUUUGAACCGCAUGGUUCAAAAGUGAAAGACGGUCUUGCUGUCACUUAUAGAUGGAUCCGCGCUGCAUUAGCUAGUUGGUAAGGUAACGGCUUACCAAGGCAACGAUGCAUAGCCGACCUGAGAGGGUGAUCGGCCACACUGGAACUGAGACACGGUCCAGACUCCUACGGGAGGCAGCAGUAGGGAAUCUUCCGCAAUGGGCGAAAGCCUGACAGAGCAACGCCGCGUGAGUGAUGAAGGUCUUCGGAUCGUAAAACUCUGUUAUUAGGGAAGAACAUAUGUGUAAGUAACUGUGCACAUCUUGGCGGUACCUAAUCAGAAAGCCACGGCUAACUACGUG